Molecule: long non-coding RNA, 237 nt
Filed under: Sorghum bicolor (sorghum)
Lineage: Eukaryota; Viridiplantae; Streptophyta; Magnoliopsida; Poales; Poaceae
Description: long non-coding RNA (SBIC_LNC006157)
Source: RNAcentral
CGGGGACCCCGAGCUUCGCUCGACUCGACUCUAACUCCCACUCUAGACUAACUACUACUCUACUUGUAUGCUUGGAACUUGUAAUGCACUUGGCCUUGGAAUUGCACACUUGAAAUGAAGGGUGGAGGCUGCCUUUUAUAGAGGGAGAUGGAGUAGGGGUUACUCCAUCGCCACGUCAUCGAUCCGCGUGACAUCUUCUCUCCACCCUUGGAUCAAACCGACCUCACAACCGCCAUU